Molecule: ribosomal RNA, 342 nt
Filed under: uncultured bacterium
Lineage: Bacteria
Description: bacterial SSU rRNA
Rfam family: Bacterial small subunit ribosomal RNA
Source: RNAcentral
AGGGUUCGAUUAUGGCUCAGGAUGAACGCUGGCGGCGUGCCUAACACAUGCAAGUCGAACGAAGCGCCUUUUGAGAUUCUUCGGAUGAUUGAUUGGUGACUGAGUGGCGGACGGGUGAGUAACGCGUGGGUAACCUGCCCUGUACAGGGGGAUAACAGCUGGAAACGGCUGCUAAUACCGCAUAAGCGCACGAGGAGACAUCUCCUAGUGUGAAAAACUCCGGUGGUACAGGAUGGGCCCGCGUCUGAUUAGCUGGUUGGCAGGGUAACGGCCUACCAAGGCAACGAUCAGUAGCCGGUCUGAGAGGAUGAACGGCCACAUUGGAACUGAGACACGGUCCAA